This 253-nucleotide ribosomal RNA is filed under the name uncultured bacterium. Its description in RNAcentral is "partial 16S ribosomal RNA". It matches the Rfam family "Bacterial small subunit ribosomal RNA", at positions 524 to 776 of the family's 1533-position model. The record is from RNAcentral.
UACGGGGGGGGCAAGCGUUGUUCGGAAUUACUGGGCGUAAAGGGCUUGUAGGCGGCCAACUAAGUCCGACGUGAAAUCCCCAGGCUUAACCUGGGAACUGCGUCGGAUACUGGAUGGCUUGAAUUCGGGAGAGGGAUGCAGAAUUCCAGGUGUAGCGGUGAAAUGCGUAGAUAUCGGAAGGAACACCAGUGGCGAAAGCGGCUUCCUGGUCCAGCACCGACGUUCAGGCACGAAAGCGUGGGGAGCAAACAGG